AUCUUACUCCCUCCGUCCGAAAAUACUUGUCAUCAAAAUGGACAAAAAGGGAUGUAUCUAAAACUAAAAUACAUCUAGAUACAUCCCCUUUUAUUCAUUUUGAUGACAAGUAUUUCCGGACGGAGGAAGUAUAAA
Molecule: non-coding RNA, 135 nt
Organism: Triticum aestivum (bread wheat)
Lineage: Eukaryota; Viridiplantae; Streptophyta; Magnoliopsida; Poales; Poaceae
Source: Rfam